AAAUUGAAGAGUUUGAUCAUGGCUCAGAUUGAACGCUGGCGGCAGGCCUAACACAUGCAAGUCGAACGGUAACAGGAAGCAGCUUGCUGCUUUGCUGACGAGUGGCGGACGGGUGAGUAAUGUCUGGGAAACUGCCUGAUGGAGGGGGAUAACUACUGGAAACGGUAGCUAAUACCGCAUAACGUCGCAAGACCAAAGAGGGGGACCUUCGGGCCUCUUGCCAUCGGAUGUGCCCAGAUGGGAUUAGCUAGUAGGUGGGGUAACGGCUCACCUAGGCGACGAUCCCUAGCUGGUCUGAGAGGAUGACCAGCCACACUGGAACUGAGACACGGUCCAGACUCCUACGGGAGGCAGCAGUGGGGAAUAUUGCACAAUGGGCGCAAGCCUGAUGCAGCCAUGCCGCGUGUAUGAAGAAGGCCUU
Molecule: ribosomal RNA, 421 nt
Filed under: Escherichia coli
Lineage: Bacteria; Pseudomonadati; Pseudomonadota; Gammaproteobacteria; Enterobacterales; Enterobacteriaceae
Description: bacterial SSU rRNA
Rfam family: Bacterial small subunit ribosomal RNA
Source: RNAcentral